UACGUAGGGUGCAAGCGUUGUCCGGAAUUACUGGGCGUAAAGAGUUCGUAGGCGGUUUGUCGCGUCGUUUGUGAAAACCAGCAGCUCAACUGCUGGCUUGCAGGCGAUACGGGCAGACUUGAGUACUGCAGGGGAGACUGGAAUUCCUGGUGUAGCGGUGAAAUGCGGAGAUAUCAGGAGGAACACCGGUGGCGAAGGCGGGUCUCUGGGCAGUAACUGACGCUGAGGAACGAAAGCGUGGGUAGCGAACAGG
RNAcentral lists this ribosomal RNA (253 nucleotides) under uncultured bacterium. RNAcentral's name for it is "partial 16S ribosomal RNA". It matches the Rfam family "Bacterial small subunit ribosomal RNA", at positions 524 to 776 of the family's 1533-position model. The record is from RNAcentral.